UCCUACGGGGCGCAGCAGUAGGGAAUCUUCCACAAUGGACGAAAGUCUGAUGGAGCAACGCCGCGUGAGUGAAGAAGGGUUUCGGCUCGGAAAGCUCUGUUGGUAGUGAAGAAAGAUAGAGGUAGUAACUGGCCUUUAUUUGACGGUAAUUACUUAGAAAGUCACGGCUAACUACGUGCCAGCAGCCGCGGUAAUACGUAGGUUGCAAGCGUUGUCCGGAUUUAUUGGGCGGAAAGCGAGUGCAGGCGGUUCUAUAAAUCUUGUG
RNAcentral lists this ribosomal RNA (265 nucleotides) under uncultured bacterium. Its description in RNAcentral is "partial 16S ribosomal RNA". It matches the Rfam family "Bacterial small subunit ribosomal RNA", at positions 337 to 594 of the family's 1533-position model. The record is from RNAcentral.